ACUUAAAUAGCUUAUAAUAGAGCAUAAUAUUGAAGAUAUUAUUGAAGUUUUUAACUUUUAAGUA
This 64-nucleotide transfer RNA is filed under the name Neocrepidodera sp. BMNH 848121. RNAcentral's name for it is "tRNA-Phe". The record is from RNAcentral. Lineage: Eukaryota; Metazoa; Arthropoda; Insecta; Coleoptera; Chrysomelidae.